Molecule: ribosomal RNA, 682 nt
Filed under: uncultured Staphylococcus sp.
Lineage: Bacteria; Bacillati; Bacillota; Bacilli; Caryophanales; Staphylococcaceae
Description: bacterial SSU rRNA
Rfam family: Bacterial small subunit ribosomal RNA
Source: RNAcentral
GUCGAGCGAACAGACGAGGAGCUUGCUCCUCUGACGUUAGCGGCGGACGGGUGAGUAACACGUGGAUAACCUACCUAUAAGACUGGGACAACUUCGGGAAACCGGAGCUAAUACCGGAUAAUAUAUUGAACCGCAUGGUUCAAUAGUGAAAGACGGUUUUGCUGUCACUUAUAGAUGGAUCCGCGCCGCAUUAGCUAGUUGGUAAGGUAACGGCUUACCAAGGCAACGAUGCGUAGCCGACCUGAGAGGGUGAUCGGCCACACUGGAACUGAGACACGGUCCAGACUCCUACGGGAGGCAGCAGUAGGGAAUCUUCCGCAAUGGGCGAAAGCUUGACGGAGCAACGCCGCGUGAGUGAUGAAGGUCUUCGGAUCGUAAAACUCUGUUAUUAGGGAAGAACAAAUGUGUAAGUAACUAUGCACGUCUUGACGGUACCUAAUCAGAAAGCCACGGCUAACUACGUGCCAGCAGCCGCGGUAAUACGUAGGUGGCAAGCGUUAUCCGGAAUUAUUGGGCGUAAAGCGCGCGUAGGCGGUUUUUUAAGUCUGAUGUGAAAGCCCACGGCUCAACCGUGGAGGGUCAUUGGAAACUGGAAAACUUGAGUGCAGAAGAGGAAAGUGGAACUCCAUGUGUAGCGGUGAAAUGCGCAGAGAUAUGGAGGAACACCAGUGGCGAAGGCGAC